UGGUGGCUUAUAUUGUGAUUAUAUAAAGUAUCACCUAAAGACAAGCUGCUCUGUAAAGCCAGGAGUAAACUCUUCCUCAAUCCUGAGAAGCCAGGAUUUCGCUAUGUAAUUUAAUGUGUUUCAUCUAGCCUCAACGCGGGCUAUGAGGGGUCGGCAUCGUGAGAGACACACUGGCCCAGAAACCUAUGGGUUAAAAUUCCCGGUCCGAGCUGCACUCGCAGCUACUCUCGGCUCAGCGGGAGGACAGUGGGGAAGAAGCCAAUCAACGCUGGGGGCGGGCCUAUGAACGGUCCAAUCAGCCGUCCCGGGGCGGGCUCUGUGCUUCUCCGAGGCCCGGAUGCCGAUCGCUGAGCGCCGAGCGCCGAGCGGCCUGGCGGUGUAGACCGCGUUUCUUCAGGAUGUGUGCUGUACGCAGGCUGCGCGGGAAGCGCCGGGGGUUGCCCCUCCAGCCACUGCACGGUAUUUAUUAUCAGUAAAUUCUGCCUUACAGAGUGGUCAAAUGGGAGCAGAUGAAGAAAUUGAUGGCUUCGAAGGAAGAUCAGCUGAAGUAGAAGAAAUAAAGGUGGAAAAAGAGGCCAAAACCCAAGCUAUUCUUUUAGAGAUGGAAGAAACUGGGAUGACCAGCAAAUUGAAGAUGAGUACCAAAAUUACAGGAAAAAUCCAAGGUAAUUUGCACUCACAAGAAUGUUCCUCAGAGGUCAUAAAUAUUUGUUUUUGUUUUUUUUUGUUUUUUUUUUUUUUUGUUUUGUUUUUUUGAGACAGGGUCUCACUAUGUAGUUGAGACUGACCUGGAACUCACUGUGUAGCCCAGGCUGGUCUCGAACUCACAGUGAUCCUCCUGCCUCAGCCUCCCGAGUGCUGGGAUUACAGGCGUGCGCCACCACACCCAGCCAUAAAUAUUAAAACCAAGCAAACUACAGAAAUAAGGCCAUGUUCACAAAAAUACAGGCAUGGUGGCAUGUUCCAGUAAUAUCAGCACUUGGGUGACUGAGGCAGGAGAAUGGCAAGGAGUUCAAGGUUUGCCUGUGCUACAUAGGGAGCUUAAGCUCGACCUGAACUACAUAGAUAGACCUUGUUUCAAAAAUCAAAUGAACAAACAAAAUGAGCCCA
RNAcentral lists this long non-coding RNA (1110 nucleotides) under Fukomys damarensis (Damara mole-rat). Its description in RNAcentral is "lncRNA (ENSFDAG00000028154.1)". The record is from RNAcentral. Lineage: Eukaryota; Metazoa; Chordata; Mammalia; Rodentia; Bathyergidae.